CAUCGGGCGAUGCCGCACGCGGAUAUGCGUGGGACGUCGUGGUCGUGCCAUGGCGGGGCAAGCCGAUCGAUAUCGCGCGUUGCAUGCGCGCGCUCGAAUC
This 100-nucleotide transfer RNA is filed under the name Caballeronia calidae. RNAcentral's name for it is "tRNA-His". The record is from RNAcentral. Lineage: Bacteria; Pseudomonadati; Pseudomonadota; Betaproteobacteria; Burkholderiales; Burkholderiaceae.